RNAcentral lists this ribosomal RNA (426 nucleotides) under uncultured bacterium. Its description in RNAcentral is "bacterial SSU rRNA". It matches the Rfam family "Bacterial small subunit ribosomal RNA", at positions 356 to 773 of the family's 1533-position model. The record is from RNAcentral.
GAGGAAUAUUGCGCAAUGGGGGCAACCCUGACGCAGCGACGCCGCGUGAGUGAGGAAGGCCUUCGGGUCGUAAAGCUCUGUCAAGAGGAAAGAAGUGCAUAGCGGUUAAUACCCGUUGUGUUUGACGGUACCUCUAAAGGAAGCACCGGCUAACUCCGUGCCAGCAGCCGCGGUAAUACGGAGGGUGCAAGCGUUGUUCGGAAUCACUGGGCGUAAAGGGCGCGUAGGCGGUUUGAUAAGUCAGAUGUGAAAGCCCAUGGCUUAACUGUGGAAGUGCAUUUGAAACUGUCAGACUUGAGUACCAGAGGGGAAAGUGGAAUUCCCGGUGUAGAGGUGAAAUUCGUAGAUAUCGGGAGGAAUACCGGUGGCGAAGGCGACUUUCUGGCUGGAUACUGACGCUGAGGCGCGAAAGCGUGGGGAGCAAAC